RNAcentral lists this long non-coding RNA (492 nucleotides) under Setaria viridis. Its description in RNAcentral is "long non-coding RNA (SVIR_LNC005290)". Lineage: Eukaryota; Viridiplantae; Streptophyta; Magnoliopsida; Poales; Poaceae. The record is from RNAcentral.
UUGUUUCCUCGACAGAGUACACCAACACUCCUGAAGAAAAAAAUGAACCGAGAAAAAGGUGAACAAAGCAGCCAGGCACCUUCAUUGAAUCCAGAUGAAAACAGAGGUUCCAUCGUGCCUGCACCACCGCGGAAGUCCUGUUUGUUGCAUCACCGGAAAGGAGAGGAAGGGGGGAAAAAGGGCAUCGUUUACUUCUUCUCUGUCCACCGAUUUCUACCAGAUAUACUUUCUUUCCCACUACGCAUAGUUCCUUGGGCAUGAAGCCCCCGCUGUUUUCAAGAGAUUCCCACAGUUCAUUCGCUCACCUCACUGCUGGGACUCUUUACCUUUUGCAACUUUGGUUUCUUGAGAAUUGUUUUAGCUCCAAGUUACUUCAAGGGUCUGCAAGAUAGAUGCUUCCACUGAGUGGUUUCCUACUUUGUGUAACACACUGCAUGCAUCACUUUCAUCCCAAACAGCAAAAUCAUUCGGUUUUUCAAUUAAACACCUGCC